Cyanistes caeruleus (blue tit) is the source of this 1678-nucleotide non-coding RNA. The record is from RefSeq and is a predicted model, not a curated record. Lineage: Eukaryota; Metazoa; Chordata; Aves; Passeriformes; Paridae.
UCCGGGACCUCCGCUACACCCCGGUACCCGCUCCGGGACCCUCGCUACACCGCGGCACCCGCUCCGGGACCUCCGCUACAUUCCCGGUACCUGCUCAGGUACCUUCUCCCGAUCUUCGGUCCCUGCACCCCCUGGCACCUGCCCUGGCACCUCCCCGCAGCCGCAGUCCCCGCCCUGCCGUGCCCCCGCCAGUGCAGCCCCAGUGCCGGGGUCAGAUCUGGAUAAGCACACGGUAUAAAGUGUCGCUGACUGAUCAGCUUUCAUUACCACCCCAUCCUUACACCCCUGACACCCUCUCUUUGACCAACAGAACCACAAGAGCACGUCAGGGUGUUUACAAACAGACUUUCCUGGGUGGUUUGUCAGUCAUUCCAACCUUUCAAAGUGCUGAAAUACUGCCCUAGAUGGCCCAACCAGCCUAAAAGUGACAUCAACUAUUCUCAUGCAAUUUUGGUUAUGUGCUACCUGUGACACGUGGAUUUCAAAGCACUUGUGCGGGAAAAUUAAGCUGAUCAGGACUGUACAGUCAAUCCAAAGGAGAGCAAAAGACUGACUUGCACAAAUUCACACCUCAGGUUUCUGCCAGAGCCUGGUCCAUGGCUUCCCCUUCAGACCCCACCAGAAUGUUCCAACCACUGCCUUCCAAGAGGAGGAGAAGCAUCAGCAGAGGCUGCCCAAAGAGGCAGCAGGAAUGCCUUCCUUGAAGAGUCUCAGAACCUGACAAGGCACUGAACAACUUAAAUAACUGACUUCAGCCCUGCUCCAGAGAGGAGAGGAGACCAAAGGCUCCACAAGCCUUUCCAACCUGAACUAUUCCUAAGCUGGUCUUUCUUCACUGGGGUCAGCAGCAUUUCUGGAAAAUGUAAGAUGAACUCCAGUAAAAAUGCCAGUAAGUAAUAACUGUUUAAUUUUCAGAAUUCCUCCUUUAAACCAGAAAUAUAUAGGAUGUGCUUCUAUUUAAUUAAUUGAGAUUUCUAAGUAUCCUAGACCCAUAAAUGUGUAAUAUUGAAUGUAAUUACUUUGGUGUGAUGUACUCACACAUACUUCAACUUAACACAUUCCCUUCUCUUAGGACCUGACUAUUUCUGGCAAAUGUUAAGAGUCUUAUCAAAGCCUAUAAUGAGCAUCUGUCACCAUGGCACGAAAUACACAAGAUCCUUCAAAAAAGAAGUGGCCAGUUCUGAUCUCACUUAGUACAAAUCAUUAUAAAUAAAAUUCCAUGAGUGAGUUUAAAACAGCAAGACAAUCAGAAACAAAUAAAAAAAAGUUCAGAAUUUUAAAUGCAACUUAAAGCAGUGGUUCCAAGUACUGAAAAUAAACUCCAUACUCUGGUGAGCUGCAGAUCUGCUGUUACCAGCAGCCACCCUGCGGAGCUGCCCUCGGUAUCUUUCUUCAGCCUCCAGGAUGACUCUGUGGUGCUCACACCUCUGCAGGCAACUCUGCAACAUCUUGGUGAAGGUUUUACUGUUCAAGGACAGUCCUGCUGUGCAACCUGGGAAAAACAGGAUACUGCAGAAAUAGCAAUCAUAGCUUCUGAAGAAGCCAUCACAAAAUUCAGUGUUUCAUUUUGCUCACUAGGAUCAAUCUGACUUCAGGUUUUCCAUACUCAUGUCAUUUUUAUGUGCCUUCUUGAAAUACUUUGUAUUUGCUCUCUCAAAAUAAAAGUAUUAUUUCAAAA